CGGGACGGGUGAGUAAUGUCUGGGAAACUGCCUGAUGGAGGGGGAUAACUACUGGAAACGGUAGCUAAUACCGCAUAACGUCGCAAGACCAAAGAGGGGGACCUUCGGGCCUCUUGCCAUCGGAUGUGCCCAGAUGGGAUUAGCUAGUAGGUGGGGUAACGGCUCACCUAGGCGACGAUCCCUAGCUGGUCUGAGAGGAUGACCAGCCACACUGGAACUGAGACACGGUCUAG
This 233-nucleotide ribosomal RNA is filed under the name uncultured bacterium. RNAcentral's name for it is "partial 16S ribosomal RNA". It matches the Rfam family "Bacterial small subunit ribosomal RNA", at positions 100 to 334 of the family's 1533-position model. The record is from RNAcentral.